CCCAUUCUUUCCCUGAUAGACGUCCCUCUACCUUUAUUGCUUGCCUGUGAUUCAGAGAUCAAGAAGGUCACAGAGAAUUGUAAGAUGAGAAAACAAAGGCCCAGAGAGUUUAAGUGACCUGCACCCCCAAGUCAUGCAGCUAGUAAGUGAAGAGGCAGGAUUUGAACCCACACCCUCUGACUUCACAUUCAAUGCUUUUCCACACUUCCAAAAAGGCAAGUCUCCAAAAGACAAACAUGGUGCCAAAGGAAAUGAAGCUGAAGUUCCCAGGCUCCAUGUGCAUUGGUAGUGGUGGCAGGAGCAAGCCAGUUUAAAGAUCUCUCUACUUGGAAGAGAAAACGGAAUCGGAGU
Vombatus ursinus (common wombat) is the source of this 351-nucleotide long non-coding RNA. RefSeq lists it as uncharacterized. The transcript is spliced from 3 exons. The record is from RefSeq and is a predicted model, not a curated record. NCBI's taxonomy places the organism in Eukaryota, Metazoa, Chordata, Mammalia, Diprotodontia, Vombatidae.